UCUUGAUUGUACCCUUUUUCACUGGAUAAUGGACACGUGUACCGCACAUUUUUCUUUUGCCAAACCACGUGUCCAGUUCAGAUGCACAAAAUAUUCUGUACUCCAAUUUUCCAUCCCUCCAAAUUCUCUCUCCUUCGGUGCUCUCCACACCUCUUCAGCUUUCUUUGAGUAAGUUUCUCAAAUCUUCUGAACUUCUAUUUUUCUUUUCUGAUUUUUCAUUCCAGUUGCAAAAUGAGCAAUAGCACCUGUGAAGUUAGAUGAUGAGCAGUUGGAUGAACUGCGACAAAAUUCCCGAUCAGCCGACAAAAACGAUGAUGGUAGUCUGACCCAACUCGAGCUUGGCGCACUAUUGGGGUCCCUAGGUUUAAAAUCAGUACUGAUCAGCUAGAAACUUUGAUUGAAAAGGAUGAUAAAGACGACAAUGGCCUUGUUGAAUUCUCAAAGUUUGUUUGCCAAUUACAUUUCAUUUAUGUCUUAAACACUGUGAACAUUCUUGGAAACUGCAUGUUCUUGUGUUAGUUUUGCCUGUUUUCUGUUCUUAUUGCAUUCAUUCCCUUGAUUUAUUCAAUCCCUAAAUUGGGAAGGUCGAUUACAGUAUCAUCGCUUUGAAUAUGUUCCAUGUAUUAAGUAUUGUUUAAACCUAUAACAUAUGUGUACAUUGGACGAACUUAAAAGGUAUAUAAAAUUGAAAUCUUUACUGCACAAUUGUGCAAAGAAAGUCUUUUUUAAUGGUGACAUCUUUUCAAACACCUGGUGUGCGUUAAAAAUGUAUUUACAAGAUCAAUGCAAAAGGAUAAUUAUAAUAAUAUACAAUCAGCGUUAUCUAUAAUUAGGGAUUAGGCCAAGCAGAGGAAAAAAGAAAAUUGAAAUCAAAACUAACUAAAAAUAGUAAUAGUAUAUUGAAGGCAAGAGCGGAACUCUAAACAACAGUAGUGGUAGUAGAUUGAAGACCUCACAUGCAAAACUUGCGGGGAAGAGGAAUUAAGUUAGUCUACCUCCUACUUUGCUUUCUUUAAACACUGUCAAGUCAUUGCUUCAUUUCAGAUGGUGCUAUUAGUUAGAAGUCGAAGAAAAAGUUAAUCACUAAGUGGUCGUUUGGUUUGAGGUAUAAAAUGGGUUAUGCCAGUACUAAUUUUUAUACCACGUUUGGUAUAAGGUAUAGAUUUAUCCCGGGAUUAUUUUAUACCUUGCACCAAACGUGGUAUAAAAAUUAGUGCUGCAUUAACUCAACUUAUACCUUCUUAACCCACUUAUACUGGGAUUAUUUUAUACCAUCUUUCAGAUGGUAUAAAAUAAUACCAACUGAUGGGAUAAAUUAGUCCCGGGAUUGUAAUCCCGGAACUAUUUUGACUAGCAACCAAACGACCACUAAGAGUAAACAAAUGUAGCACAUUUACUUUUGAGUACAAAACCCGUGUUCUACACCUCAUACUCUGAAAUUGCUAAAACAGCUUCUGAGACAGAUUUUUACGGUUAGAUUGAUUGUCCAGUUCUAGGUUUUGAGAAAGGGCAAACCAUCGAUACAAGAUUAAGUGAAUGUCAUUUUCUGCUCUUUGAUAAGUUCAUCCCCUCUUCUAAUUUUCUUCAAAAUGUUUCCCAGGGUCUUUCGGAAACAGCCUAGAAAGGUGAGGGUAAGGACUGCGUACUCUCUACCCUCCCCAGACCGUACAUUGUGGGAAUGUACUGGGUAUGUUGUUGCUGUUAUUGUUGAGACUCAUGUCACCAUAGUGUAUUCUAUAGUUCUAUAUGACCACAAGCCUUAGAUAUCCUUCACUAUUUUUAAUUAUUUCUUGGUAUAGACAAUUGUGUAGGAUUCCUUUUUCUUCAGCACUAUGCAGGAUUCGUCGGUAUUGGGCCAUUGGCACAACUGGGUGGCCUGAUAUGCGUUUGCCCAUCCUUUACACUUUAUCCUAGAUCCCCUAGCCUUGAUCUUUUCAAGUAAAAACAUUCUUUCUUUGUGAAUGCAUUUUAUUUUGCUUAUUGCUUUAAGCUCACUAGAUAUCUAUGUUUGCUUGCUGCUUCAUUGAGUUAAUUUCAAAUAUAAGUAAAACUUCGGCAUUUUCUUUCGACUUAGUAUUUGUAAUUCUGAGCGUAAUAGUAUAGGCUUGGAUCAUUGGCAUUUAAAGCCAUGAUUAUGUAAAAUACUCAUCCAAAUCAGGCUUACGCUGUCGGGCAAGCUGGAGGGACCAUGACUGGAGUUCUGAGUGUAACAAAUGAAAGGGUUGUGGAAUUAUUUAUUAGUGAGCGAUAUGCAGUAUGAAUUCUUACAUUCGACUUCUAUACAUGUAAUAUGUUUCAAAUAUUUAGUUUGCUAAUAAUUCAAGACGAAUAUGUCCUCAUCAGAAAGGGAAGUUUCAGGUACUUCUCAGGAAGAAAGAAACUCAUUUAGACUGUGUGUUGUCUUAUUUUUAACUACUUAUAUUCUUACUGCUCUAUUUCUAGGAAAAUCUCAGAUGAUUGGUUGUAACCUUACAAGUUGUUCUUGAUAAUUUUGAGAAGACAUAGGAUAUAUAAGGACUUGGCCCAACACUUAUCACAUUGUCUUCCACAGUAGGUGUCUUUCCAAUUUGGAGGAAAGAUGAAUGCGCUUAGUAAAAGUCAGGAAGUGCAGUCAUGCAGAGAAUAAGUAGGCGUUUGGCCAUGAAAAUCAAAUAUAUUUCACUUUUUUAAAAUUUUGAAGUUGGAGUUGUGCUUGAUUAUAGUUUUUGCAAAGAAUAUUUAGUUGCUUGAAUGUAAUGAAAGUGAAAAAAAGUGAAAACAAUGUUUUAGUUGUUUUCCAAAUUCCAAACAUAACUUCAAGUUGUAUUUGGAAUUUUCAUGGCCAAAUGCUGAUUUCCAAAUAAAGUGAAAAAAAAAAUCGGAAAAAGUGAAAUUUCUCAUGGCCAAACGGAUCUAGGAAUCUACAGGAUCAUGGCUAAAGUGCUGCAGGAAGGCCCCAACAAUAUUCUAUGAUCUGCUUCAAUUGGAUGACAUCUAAUCUUAGUGGACAUGUAUUGCAUAGAACUAUUUAAUUUCCAUACUCAAGUUUUGUAAUUAUGACCAAAGUAAGGGUACUUAAAUACUUUUUGCAUAUGCUGCUAAAAUAACUCAUGCAUAAAUUAAUUAUGUUGGGAUGUGUAUAGACAGGACGAAAAAAGAAAGUUGUGCAAAUAGAGUGGAGAACAGUUUAGUAUUUGCAAUAUAUGUAGUAGAUAUUUCAAUUAGUGCAGUGAUACUGAGAGAAACUCAGUUAAAGAGAACUUUGCAGAAAAUGAAUUUUAAAGAUAAUGAGCUUUUCUCGGAUACGGUAGAUAAACAAUUUCAAUUUUAAUAUGCCUCCCGCUUUUUUUUUUUUUUCAAGUAAUAUGGAGAUAGGCAACACUCCUUUGUUGGUAUCAAGUUUUGUAGCAUUCUUAUCCAUAGUUUCUUUGGGAUAUGUAAUUCGUAAGAGAUUAUCUGCUUAUGUCCUUGAAAACUUUUCUUCUUUCUAAUUUUCUUUUGUACUGAAAACAGGUGCGACUUGAACCAAAUUUUUGUGUCUCUGAGAGACGAAAAAUGGGAGUGUUUUCUGGGGUGUCCGUCUUGUGACUUCACAGACACUCAUCAGAUUUUACUUUUGGGAGAUUUGGGAAUUGGUCAAGACAAACUUACAUGUUGAUGGGUGUAAAAUCAGAUGAGGAGGCCAACCAAGACGUAUUGGGAUGGUUCGUGAAGCAUUUCAAGAUAUAUAAAGUACUGCCAUGUUGCAAAACUUUGUUGUGGUGUGGCUCUGAAGCUGCUAAGAAAAUUGGGCAAUAGCUGACUAAACCUCUAAGCUCUUUUUCUGUAAAGAUCCUUUUCUUAAAGGGACAUUUCCCCACUCAUUUCAGAUCAUAGAGGCCGGGUUUCAGUCUUUGCUUGUUCUUUCUUUUAUUUUGCAGAUUAACAACUUCAAUCUUUAUUAGAAUGUAAUAGUGCUCAUGACGUGAAACCAGAUGAAGUGUGAGGGUGGCUCAUGUAUCUAAAUGAGUGGUAUAAAUGCUGCAAAUUUGAGCUUUCUUUCCAAACUAUGAAUAAGAUAGGUUGUAAUAGCCUA
Molecule: long non-coding RNA, 4054 nt
Organism: Lycium barbarum (goji berry)
Lineage: Eukaryota; Viridiplantae; Streptophyta; Magnoliopsida; Solanales; Solanaceae
Exons: 2
Source: RefSeq, a predicted model, not a curated record